Molecule: ribosomal RNA, 590 nt
Filed under: Pichia nakasei
Lineage: Eukaryota; Fungi; Ascomycota; Pichiomycetes; Pichiales; Pichiaceae
Description: eukaryotic LSU rRNA
Rfam family: Eukaryotic large subunit ribosomal RNA
Source: RNAcentral
GAAAAGAAACCAACAGGGAUUGCCUCAGUAGCGGCGAGUGAAGCGGCAAGAGCUCAGAUUUGAAAUCUCACCUAGUGUGCGAGUUGUAAAUUGCAGGUUGGAGUCUCGGUUUAGACGUGUGUGCAAGUCCCUUGGAACAGGGCGCCACUGAGGGUGAGAGCCCCGUAGUGUGCACGUCGAUAGCUGUGAGGCCCUUCUGACGAGUCGAGUUGUUUGGGAAUGCAGCUCUAAGUGGGUGGUAAAUUCCAUCUAAGGCUAAAUAUUGGCGAGAGACCGAUAGCGAACAAGUACUGUGAAGGAAAGAUGAAAAGCACUUUGAAAAGAGAGUGAAACAGCACGUGAAAUUGUUGAAAGGGAAGGGUAUUGGGCUCGACAUGGGAUUUACGCAUCGUUGCCUCUCGUGGGCGGCGCUCUGGGUUUUUCCUGGGCCAGCAUCGGUUUUCGUUGCAGGAUAAGGACCUUUGGAAUGUGGCUCCUCGGAGUGUUAUAGCCAUUGGUAGAUGCUGCAUAUGGGGACCGAGGGCUGCGGCGGACUUGUUUCGUCUCGGAUGCUGGCACAACGGCGCAAUACCGCCCGUCUUGAAACACGG